Molecule: ribosomal RNA, 374 nt
Filed under: uncultured bacterium
Lineage: Bacteria
Description: bacterial SSU rRNA
Rfam family: Bacterial small subunit ribosomal RNA
Source: RNAcentral
UACAGAGGGUGCGAGCGUUAAUCGGAGUUACUGGGCGUAAAGGGCGCGUAGGCGGUUAGGAAGGUGUGAUGUGAAAGCCCUGGGCUUAACCUAGGAAGUGCAUCGCAAACCACCAAACUGGAGUAUAGGAGAGGGUGGCGGAAUUUCCGGUGUAGCGGUGAAAUGCGUAGAGAUCGGAAGGAACGUCGAUGGCGAAGGCAGCCACCUGGCCUAAUACUGACGCUGAGGCGCGAAAGCGUGGGGAGCAAACAGGAUUAGAUACCCUGGUAGUCCACGCUGUAAACGAUGAGGACUAGAUGUUGGUAGGGGAACCUAUUGGUAUCGAAGCAAACGCGAUAAGUCUUCCGCCUGGGAAGUACGGCCGCAAGGUUGAA